GGAGGAAAGCAGGGGAUCGCAAGACCUUGCGCUCUUGGAGCGGCCGAUGUCUGAUUAGCUAGUUGGUGAGGUAAAGGCUUACCAAGGCGACGAUCAGUAGCUGGUCUGAGAGGACGACCAGCCACACUGGGACUGAGACACGGCCCAGACUCCUACGGGAGGCAGCAGUGGGGAAUUUUGGACAAUGGGGGAAACCCUGAUCCAGCCAUGCCGCGUGAGUGAAGAAGGCCUUCGGGUUGUAAAGCUCUUUCAGCCGGAACGAAACGGUCACAGCUAAUACCUGUGACUACUGACGGUACCGGAAGAAGAAGCACCGGCUAACUACGUGCCAGCAGCCGCGGUAAUGCGUAGGGUGCAAGCGUUAAUCGGAAUUACUGGGCGUAAAGCGUGCGCAGGCGGUUUUGUAAGUCAGAUGUGAAAUCCCCGGGCUUAACCUGGGAACUGCGUUUGAAACUACAAAGCUAG
This 465-nucleotide ribosomal RNA is filed under the name uncultured beta proteobacterium. RNAcentral describes it as "bacterial SSU rRNA". It matches the Rfam family "Bacterial small subunit ribosomal RNA", at positions 198 to 644 of the family's 1533-position model. The record is from RNAcentral. Lineage: Bacteria; Pseudomonadati; Pseudomonadota; Betaproteobacteria.